UACAAGCGAAUAGACCAUUUAUCGGUGG
RNAcentral lists this unclassified non-coding RNA (28 nucleotides) under Arabidopsis thaliana (thale cress). Its description in RNAcentral is "trans-acting siRNA1c primary transcript". Lineage: Eukaryota; Viridiplantae; Streptophyta; Magnoliopsida; Brassicales; Brassicaceae. The record is from RNAcentral.